RNAcentral lists this long non-coding RNA (291 nucleotides) under Manihot esculenta (cassava). Its description in RNAcentral is "long non-coding RNA (MESC_LNC001700)". Lineage: Eukaryota; Viridiplantae; Streptophyta; Magnoliopsida; Malpighiales; Euphorbiaceae. The record is from RNAcentral.
GAUCAAGGCUCAAGUAAUUGGAGAAGAGAAGAGAGUCCCAACUGUAUUGAGCAAAAAGUGUAGCACUCUUUUUGAUUUGGUCAUAGCCCAUCCUACUUUUUCCAUGUACUCAUGAAGUAACAUGAUUAGCUUCUCCUCUUUCAAAUGAGGUGUGCCUCUAGCCCUUAUGUUUGCAUUUUUGAGCACUUCCAACUUCAAUUGAUAUUUCUCCAUGGAUGGCUGCAAUUUGGCAUUAAGUUCAGGCAAAACAAAUUCUACCUUAUCUGGAGGUUUGGGCAGGCAUUGAUCUGC